GUGGCGAACGGGUGAGUAACACGUGAGUAACCUGCCCUUGACUCUGGGAUAAGCCUGGGAAACUGGGUCUAAUACCGGAUAUGACCAUCUGACGCAUGUCAUGGUGGUGGAAAGCUUUUGUGGUUUUGGAUGGACUCGCGGCCUAUCAGCUUGUUGGUGGGGUAAUGGCCUACCAAGGCGACGACGGGUAGCCGGCCUGAGAGGGUGACCGGCCACACUGGGACUGAGACACGGCCCAGACUCCUACGGGAGGCAGCAGUGGGGAAUAUUGCACAAUGGGCGGAAGCCUGAUGCAGCGACGCCGCGUGAGGGAUGACGGCCUUCGGGUUGUAAACCUCUUUCAGUAGGGAAGAAGCGAAAGUGACGGUACCUGCAGAAGAAGCGCCGGCUAACUACGUGCCAGCAGCCGCGGUAAUACGUAGGGCGCAAGCGUUAUCCGGAAUUAUUGGGCGUAAAGAGCUCGUAGGCGGUUUGUCGCGUCUGCUGUGAAAGACCGGGGCUCAACUCCGGUUCUGCAGUGGGUACGGGCAGACUAGAGUGCAGUAGGGGAGACUGGAAUUCCUGGUGUAGCGGUGAAAUGCGCAGAUAUCAGGAGGAACACCGAUGGCGAAGGCAGGUCUCUGGGCUGUAACUGACGCUGAGGAGCGAAAGCAUGGGGAGCGAACAGGAUUAGAUACCCUGGUAGUCCAUGCCGUAAACGUUGGGCACUAGGUGUGGGGGACAUUCCACGUUUUCCGCGCCGUAGCUAACGCAUUAAGUGCCCCGCCUGGGGAGUACGGCCGCAAGGCUAAAACUCAAAGGAAUUGACGGGGGCCCGCACAAGCGGCGGAGCAUGCGGAUUAAUUCGAUGCAACGCGAAGAACCUUACCAAGGCUUGACAUGAACCGGAAAGACCUGGAAACAGGUGCCCCGCUUGCGGUCGGUUUACAGGUGGUGCAUGGUUGUCGUCAGCUCGUGUCGUGAGAUGUUGGGUUAAGUCCCGCAACGAGCGCAACCCUCGUUCUAUGUUGCCAGCGCGUUAUGGCGGGGACUCAUAGGAGACUGCCGGGGUCAACUCGGAGGAAGGUGGGGACGACGUCAAAUCAUCAUGCCCCUUAUGUCUUGGGCUUCACGCAUGCUACAAUGGCCGGUACAAAGGGUUGCGAUACUGUGAGGUGGAGCUAAUCCCAAAAAGCCGGUCUCAGUUCGGAUUGGGGUCUGCAACUCGACCCCAUGAAGUCGGAGUCGCUAGUAAUCGCAGAUCAGCAACGCUGCGGUGAAUACGUUCCCGGGCCUUGUACACACCGCCCGUCAAGUCACGAAAGUUGGUAACACC
Molecule: ribosomal RNA, 1315 nt
Filed under: Arthrobacter sp.
Lineage: Bacteria; Bacillati; Actinomycetota; Actinomycetes; Micrococcales; Micrococcaceae
Description: bacterial SSU rRNA
Rfam family: Bacterial small subunit ribosomal RNA
Source: RNAcentral